GCUUGUCACCAUUCCAGAUUGAAUAUACCCGAUCUCGACUGAUCUCGGAAGUCAAGCAAUCUCGGGCUUGGUUAGUACUUUGGAUGGGUGACCGCUUGGGAAUACCAAGUGUGAUAAGCA
This is a non-coding RNA of Ciona savignyi (Pacific transparent sea squirt), 120 nucleotides long. Lineage: Eukaryota; Metazoa; Chordata; Ascidiacea; Phlebobranchia; Cionidae. The record is from Rfam.